Oncorhynchus kisutch (coho salmon) is the source of this 1026-nucleotide long non-coding RNA. RefSeq lists it as uncharacterized. The transcript has 3 exons. Lineage: Eukaryota; Metazoa; Chordata; Actinopteri; Salmoniformes; Salmonidae. The record is from RefSeq and is a predicted model, not a curated record.
UUCCCCACAUGAAAUCAAUGGGUAGAACAGGCCAGUGGUUGUCUAUGUAAUGACCACCCAGAAACAGCAGAGAAGGAGAAUUAACGCUGAGUAUUGAGCUAAUGGAGUGAUUCUUUCUCGAAAGCAGGACCAUUGGAAAAUGGUUCUGAUGUGCCAUUUUCUUUUGAAAGAGUUGUAGGAUGAAUUUUGAGGCUCUUGCCCUGUGUGUGAUCAAAUCACAGAAUGCAUGUUCUUUAAAACAAUGGAACAUAUCGACAGGGCAGAACUAAAGAUGGAGGCAGGGCAGUUCCACUGAGCUAGUUGUCACACUUGAAACAAAUUAAGUGUUACAGAUUUUAUUACUAAGCAAAACAGUUAUAGGCUGCGGGAGUUGUCAUUAAACAACAGGUAAAAAUCUAAAAUCCUACAUGAUUAAAGCAUUAAAAUCGCUAGUAAACCAAGCAGUGACAUCUGCUAUUUUCGACACGAGGAGACAGUGCCAGUGUGGUGCCCUCCCUGAAAGCCAAGAGGAUACAUCUGCACAUUGACUGACUGUCGAGACACGUUGGGCUGAUUACCCUUGGAUACUCCUCAAAGAUUACAUCUUGCAACUAGUGAGGUCUGGCCGCCCGACAACCUGCCCGCUUGACCCCAUCUCCCCCUCCCUUCUCCACACCAUCUCUGGAGACCUCUCAUUCCUCACUUCCCUCAUCAACUCAUCUCUCACCACUGGCUAUGUCCCCUCUGACUUCAAAAUGUCCUGAGUUGCUCCGCUCUUCAAGAAACCAACACUCAACUCAUCUGACAUCAAAAACUAUAGACCUAAUGACCUUCUUGACCCAAACCAGUCAGGCUUCAAGAUGGGUCACUCAACCGAGACCGCUCUUCUCUGUGUCAUGGAGGUUCCUACCUGGCAGGUCGCUCCUACCAGGUGACAUGGAGAGGAUCUGUGUCUGCACCCCAUAGUCUCACUACUGGUGUCCCCCACGGCUCGGAUCUAGGCUCUCUCCUUUUACUUAAAGUAAAUAACAUAAUAAAAAAAUCCAC